Molecule: ribosomal RNA, 403 nt
Filed under: bacterium
Lineage: Bacteria
Description: partial 16S ribosomal RNA
Rfam family: Bacterial small subunit ribosomal RNA
Source: RNAcentral
UGGGGAAUAUUGCACAAUGGGGGAAACCCUGAUGCAGCGACGCCGCGUGAACGAAGAAGGUAUUCGUAUCGUAAAGUUCUGUCCUAUGGGAAGAUAAUGACAGUACCAUAGAAGAAAGCUCCGGCUAAAUACGUGCCAGCAGCCGCGGUAAUACGUAUGGAGCGAGCGUUGUCCGGAAUUAUUGGGCGUAAAGGGUACGCAGGCGGUUUAAUAAGUCGAAUGUUAAAGAUCGGGGCUCAACCCCGCAAAGCAUUGGAAACUGAUAAACUUGAGUAGUGGAGAGGAAAGUGGAAUUCCUAGUGUAGUGGUGAAAUACGUAGAUAUUAGGAGGAAUACCAGUAGCGAAGGCGACUUUCUGGACACAAACUGACGCCGAGGUACGAAAGCGUGGGGAGCAAACAGG